Molecule: non-coding RNA, 1376 nt
Organism: Xiphophorus maculatus (southern platyfish)
Lineage: Eukaryota; Metazoa; Chordata; Actinopteri; Cyprinodontiformes; Poeciliidae
Source: the annotation of a RefSeq genome assembly
CGUCCUCAUCUGGACUCUCCUCUGCUUCACUCAGGGAUCUGAUGGACAAAAUGUUGUUGUGACUCAAUCAGCAGCCAAAUCAGUGCAGCUUGGUCAGACUGUCACUAUUGACUCUGUUAAGAGGUCAGAGUUGAUCAGUGGCUGUCCAGGCCUUUCAGAGCCACUGACACACCAGCAGCACAAUGAUGAUGUCACUGACUCUACUGCUGACCAUCCUGGGGCUCCUGGUUCAGGGUUCAUCAGGAGACAUCAUCCUGACUCAGACUCCUGGAUCUCAGUCUGUUGCUUUGGGACAGACUGUCUCCAUCUCAUGUAAAACCAGUUCAAGUGUUGGUAGCAACCUCCACUGGUACCUUCAGAAACCUGCAGAAGCUCCUAAACUCCUGAUUUAUCGUGCUACAACUCUUCAGUCUGGAGUUCCAGCUCGGUUCAGUGGAAGUGGAUCUGGUUCUGAUUACACUCUCACCAUCAGUGGAGUUCAGGCUGAAGAUUCAGGAGUUUAUUACUGUCAGCAGAGUUGGAGCUACCCGUUCACACAGUGAUAGAACGUCGUACAAAAACCUCCCUCAGCUGGUGAGGAACUGAUCUGACUCAACAGCUGCACUGAAACUAAGACAUCCACAAAUUAUUUAUUUAUUUUACAUAUAUAUAAUUUGUUAUGUCUAUUUGGAUCUGAGACACAAAAUAAUAAUAAUUAUCAUUAUUAUUUGCCAUUUGGUUAGAACAAUUAAAGGAAAAAAAAGCACUAGGAGUUUAAACUAUUUAUAGAAAUGUUUUUUCAAAUCAAUUGUUGUUCUAAGCAGCCAUUUUUGAAAAACCUCUGACUUCUGAUGAUGGUAGUUCCUAAACAUUUUUUCAUAGCUUUUUAUAAAAGUAAAAAUUUGGAUUUCUGCCAAUUUAAUUGUUUUAAAACGAUUCCAGCUCAUUGAUAUUGUUUCUUUUGAAUAAAUCAAGUUAUGAAUAGAAGUUUGAGAAGUGGAAACAACAAACCUUUGGGAAACAAUUUGAAUAGGAAAAACAAGAUGUUGCAGAUAAAAGAUUGUUUUGCUUAUUCACACCAAAAUGUUCAUAAACAUAUAAAAAUCCUCGACCUACAGAGAAUUUCUUUCAGUGGUAUUUGCUACUUGGUUAGAACAAUUAAAGACACAAAAAAUCACUAGGAUGUUUUUUUCCAAAUUAUUUUUGUUCCAAGCAGACAUUUUUUAAAAACCUCUUAAUUCUGAUGAUGGUAGUUCCUAAAUAUUUUUCUCUUGCUUGAAAACUGUAUUCCAAAUAUGUUUUUAAAUUUAAUAAUGAUUUGCAGGGCAUUUAAUUGUACUCUUGUUAUGGAUAGAGACGAUGUCUAAAGAGAAUAAAGGCAAAACAUAAAUAAAUAA